RNAcentral lists this non-coding RNA (21 nucleotides) under Arabidopsis thaliana (thale cress). The record is from RNAcentral. Lineage: Eukaryota; Viridiplantae; Streptophyta; Magnoliopsida; Brassicales; Brassicaceae.
CAUGACCAAAAAGUGCUUAUC